GGGCGGUUAGUUCAGCAGGUAGAACAAGCGAAACUUAUCCAUAGAAGCCAUGGUCAGCGGUUCGAGUCCGCUACCGCCCA
Molecule: transfer RNA, 80 nt
Filed under: Bacteroides uniformis
Lineage: Bacteria; Pseudomonadati; Bacteroidota; Bacteroidia; Bacteroidales; Bacteroidaceae
Also listed under: 1 other name
Description: tRNA-OTHER
Rfam family: tRNA
About the family: Transfer RNA (tRNA) molecules are approximately 80 nucleotides in length. Their secondary structure includes four short double-helical elements and three loops (D, anti-codon, and T loops).
Source: RNAcentral